AUUGAACGCUGGCGGCAUGCUUUACACAUGCAAGUCGGACGGCAGCACAGAGAAGCUUGCUUCUUGGGUGGCGAGUGGCGCACGGUUGAGUAAUAUAUCGGAACGUACCGAGUCAUGGGGGAUAACUAAUCUAAAGAUUAUCUAAUACCGCAUAUUCUCUGAGGCGGAAAGCAGGGGACCUUCCGGCCUUGCGUUAUUCUAGCGGCCGAUAUCUGAUUAGCUAGUUGGUGGGGUAAAGGCCUACCAAGGCGACGAUCAGUCGCGGGUCUGAGAGGAUGAUCGGACACACUGGGACUGAGACACGGCCCAGACUCAUACGGGAGGCAGCAGUGGGGAAUAUUGGAAAAUGGGCGCAAGCCAGAACCAGCCAUGCCGCGUGUCUGAAGAAGGCCUUCGGGUUGUAAAGGACUUUUGUCAGGGAAGAAAAGGCUGUUGCUAAUACCGACAGCUGAUGACGGUACAUGAAGAAUAAGCACCGGCUAAAUACGUG
This 490-nucleotide ribosomal RNA is filed under the name uncultured bacterium. RNAcentral describes it as "partial 16S ribosomal RNA". It matches the Rfam family "Bacterial small subunit ribosomal RNA", at positions 30 to 507 of the family's 1533-position model. The record is from RNAcentral.